This 650-nucleotide ribosomal RNA is filed under the name Trichoderma virens. RNAcentral's name for it is "eukaryotic LSU rRNA". The stretch from base 270 to 423 matches the Rfam family "5.8S ribosomal RNA". Lineage: Eukaryota; Fungi; Ascomycota; Sordariomycetes; Hypocreales; Hypocreaceae. The record is from RNAcentral.
CUUGGUCAUUUAGAGGAAGUAAAAGUCGUAACAAGGUCUCCGUUGGUGAACCAGCGGAGGGAUCAUUACCGAGUUUACAACUCCCCAAACCCAAUGUGAACGUUACCAAACUGUUGCCUCGGCGGGAUCUCUGCCCCGGGUGCGUCGCAGCCCCGGACCAAGGCGCCCGCCGGAGGACCAACCAAAACUCUUAUUGUAUACCCCCUCGCGGGUUUUUUACUAUCUGAGCCAUCUCGGCGCCCCUCGUGGGCGUUUCGAAAAUGAAUCAAAACUUUCAACAACGGAUCUCUUGGUUCUGGCAUCGAUGAAGAACGCAGCGAAAUGCGAUAAGUAAUGUGAAUUGCAGAAUUCAGUGAAUCAUCGAAUCUUUGAACGCACAUUGCGCCCGCCAGUAUUCUGGCGGGCAUGCCUGUCCGAGCGUCAUUUCAACCCUCGAACCCCUCCGGGGGGUCGGCGUUGGGGAUCGGCCCUUUACGGGGCCGGCCCCGAAAUACAGUGGCGGUCUCGCCGCAGCCUCUCCUGCGCAGUAGUUUGCACACUCGCAUCGGGAGCGCGGCGCGUCCACAGCCGUUAAACACCCCAAACUUCUGAAAUGUUGACCUCGGAUCAGGUAGGAAUACCCGCUGAACUUAAGCAUAUCAAUAAGCGGA